AACAGGAGGAGGAGUCGUUGACAUUGGCAUGCUCGAAGGUGUCCUUCCAGCUGCUGUAUUUCUCUCCAUCUGCAUUGCAUUCCAUUGCAAUCAUAACAAUACAAGUAGUUCAUAAGCCAACACUUUGUUUGUUAUAAUAGGCAUUACACAAAAACAAAUUAUUUAGGUGGGUACCAACCAACCUGUGCUAAUCCAUAUCUUAUAUAUGUCCGGAAUGCCUCACUCGCAUUCUGUAGCUAUGAAAAUAUAUCAACCUGAAAGACCCAAUGUUAAAUGUCAAUAUUCAAUAAUAUCCCUGCCUCCUUGCACACUGAAAUUGUCCCCAAACCUCAGUUCUAGUGGAGCAACACCUUGUUUGCACGACAGAGAGCAAGGAGGUAUCAAUUCUUAAGGUUUGUCCUGUGCAAUUUAAACUACCCUUGAGCCCCCUUCCCCCACUCCCGCAUGCAUAGAGAAGAAACAAAGUUCCAUUUCAGAAGACAAAAGCCCUCAUUGGAGACAUACAUUUGUUCUUCUUUUUGUUCCUCGUGAAUCAGUCACUAAGGCCAUGAUGCAAGUACGGGUACAACUGUGUGAUCCCGUAAAGCUCAUACAAGCCAAUGGUGCAUGUCUGCUUGUCACUGAUUUUCUUGAAAACCGCAGCAAGCUCUUGUUGUACUCAUGUAAAGAACAAAAAGAUGCUGGGUAAGGAAGAUCGGAGACAAAUGACUUUAUUUCCAGUAUAAGUUCCAAAGUUGAGAUGGCACCUUCAAUUGUGCAUCUGUCGAAUGUGUAGCAGGUGAUGGCCCAUUGUAAACAGAGUCACCCCACUGUGUUUGGCCAAUAGGCCCUGAUGGUGUCAGCAUUCUAGCAGCUGCAAGAGUCUGUACAAAGAAAAGAAAAUCGGCUUAAAGAUCCUGAAUUCACAUCAUAAUGUUAUAGCCUAAGAGGCAAGAUAUGGAUGGUGGCGCCAAUAAAGUUUAUUAAUAGAUACAAAAUCUUUACCUGGAGAUUAAGGUUGAUGUGUGCCAGUAUAAUUGGCUGAGGUUCCAAGUCUAUAGGAACCAUGGAGAGGUGACCCGUUAUUGCAGUUCCGCGAAGCUUAACAAGCUCAUGUACAACAGUUUUAACCAUGCGCACUUAUGAUAUCGCAGUGCUACCCAAAAAUAACUAACCACUUUGCUAAGCCAAAUCUGUGUGUGCGUGUGAGAGAGAGAGAGGACACCCUUGCAUGGGAAGCUAAAAGGUGGAUAUAAUUUGAAUAAAAAAUACCUUCCAUGGAUAUAUCUGGCACUUUCAUCUUCCAAAUGAAAAUUUAAUUGUUAACUAACUAUAAAUGCAACUGAAGUUAAAUAAACAUUUAAGGAAGGUCCGAAUGUGUAGACUGUUUAGUAGGCAUUGCAACAAGUAAGUGAUUCUCAAGCAAUAUGUUAUAAGGGGCAUAUUUUAGUCCACAUAAGCCUCCCAAUAUCCAUGAUAUCUUUACACAUGAACCCUAACUUUGCUCUCUCUCUACAGGUUUCAUAAUUGUCACAAUCUUUCAACUCCUUGCUGUCCGCCAUCAUCACUGCCAAAAUAAACAAAGAACAGGAGAAAAGAUAUAUAAAUCAUUAUCAAGAAUAAUGUAAACACCAACAUUCUAAAUAAAUGAUGGGCUACAAGACUUGGAUGCAUCCAAGGUUCUGGGCUCGUGUAGACACUAAGAAUGUGACACACAUGUCUAACACUAUAGAAACUAAGAUACUUUAAUCGCUUAAAAUCCCACCUCCCCACCCCUCUAAUAUAUCUAUGAAUAUGUUGUAUCUAGAAGGGGCUAAGUUGCAUUUCUGACAUGUAUAUUGGUGUAUGGCACUGACACUCAUACCCAUAUCCUUGUAACACAGGUGAUGGAGCUUUCUUAUUUCUUAAAACAAAUGAAAGAGCACCUUGAUAUUUUUCAAGAAACAGAAAUAUUUGUUGAGGGAAAGUAAUUUAUUUGGAAGAAAGCAUAGACCUAUAUUGGGCAUCUUACAAAUGGUUUUGUGAAGAUCUCAUUGCUUAAAAUAAGAACUAUAGCUGCUUCAUGAAACAGAGAGAAGCAACACUCUUGUAGUGAUGUUCUUCAGAAUCCACAGUUAACAUGUUAGGCAAGUGCCAUUACUUGAAUUAUGCAAAACAAGAUAGAAAAUCUAGGAGUGUAGCAGUGCUAGUAUUAGGUAUUCUACUCUAACAGGAAAUUGUGAUUGUUGUAUUUCAAAAACCAUGCAACAACUAGUUUUCAAAUCAGGAACUAUGCUCUCACAGGAUAUUUAGCUGUUUCAAACCCAUCCUAAGAAAGCAGGCCACCUAGUCAUUUUCUAAAACUACAAGUGGCAACCAAGAGUUUUUCAAUAAUAUAAAGCAGCAAAUUAGAAAUUUAAACUCAUUUUCACGAAGAAAGAGUAAUAAAUUACCAUGUUUUUACAAGUAAGCUCUGAUCAAUUGCUUCUGAGAACUCAAAUUGGUGGUCUGCAUCUACUGCCCAGCUGGUGAACCAUGUAAUUGCAUGGAAAUCUUCUUUGGAUAUCCCCAUAUUGUAUAGAAAUCCUACAUCUAUGUUAGAACAAUGAAGAAAGUAACACUUUGAAGAAGCUUCUUCCAAAAACUGGCCAUGAUUUUAUUUGAUGGUCACUAAUUUUCUCUGAAAGCAAAUGGGUACAGCUAGCAGUUGGACGAAUAUUGACUCCCAAAAUUCAUAUCCUUUUUCUUAUAUAUUCCAGCCAAUUGCCCAAAAGAACAGGGUUCCUAAAUGAACUAUCUUCACAAAAUAAUGCAAGAAAUAAAUGAAUCUAUUAAAAAAAUAUAAAAAAAAAGAAGGAAAAACCAGCCAUGAAAUGAAGCAAUUCAUUCCUACAGGGAACUUAAAAUUCUGGAUCGUUUCACAUGAACUAUGAACUAUGCAUAUUUCACAUUUUCUGUGAACUGUGCACAAUAAAUUAUGUAUAAUUUAAUAGUGCUCUAAAUGAACAUUCAGAUAUUUCCAUAUUACAUGUCCAUGCAUGUGUUUGUGUGAGCAAUGAUCCUAUGAUUUCAUAGAUUGCUAAUUCUCUAUGUAUCUUUCACAGGAUAUAUACAACAGAUACAAGAACCAGGUUGUAAAGGAUCAAAGGUAUUUGUAUACUAACGAAUAGGGGAUUACUCAUGUAAGAUUUCCAUUGGCAAAGAUGAUGACAACAUGUUACAAAGGAAACACCUCUCAGGUUGCAAUUGCCUCGUGGUCCAUUAUGUUGCUGAGUGGCAGCACCUUAAGGUAAAGUCUGCUAGCACAAUUUAAAUAUGAAAUAAAAAAUGCAGUGAAUUACCAAAGCUAGUAAUGCUGACAAAGUUAUCUUCACAUGCAUUCCCUAGUUAAUUAUUGGGUGACAAACUGAAUUUACCAACCUGUGGCAGGACCACAUAAAUGUUUCCCAAUUGCCUAAGAAACACCCCUAAAAGUCUACACGUUAUUCAAGUCCAAAUCAUCAACUGCAAUAGUUAAGUUAUACAUUAGAUGCGCAAGGGGGAUGUAAACUGACAGUAUUCAAUAAAUACAUCUAUACAUGUAAUGCUAAAUAUUGUCUGCUUGUCAUGUUAAAUGUGGCAGAAAACCAAAUGAGCUCCCAUUGAAAAUAGCCUUCAUUAGUUUAAUAGUGAUUAUGUAUGGAACUCAAGGCCCUUGCAAGGUCCCCUGAGUGUCUUCCCAACAUCCAACAUGGGGGAAUACACUUCACUGACAUAUACAAAUGUAUCAUGUACAAAACAAAACUAGGAAUCAAUUGGGCUAGUAGGAUUUUUAUUUUCGCCUGGAGACUAAACUAGUGUUUGAAUAUUUUUGAGCCCACUAAAUCUCUUGAGGUGUCUUCCCAACACGCAUGGCAUGAAGCCAAUGCUAACGGGGAUAGCCUCACCAAAGAGGGGGCUUUGCAAACAAAUCUUGUAACCUUGGUCUAGUGGGCAGUCCCUUUUUGUUUUUUUUUUGUACAAUUUUGUCUCUGUUCUUUAUUAAUUAACUGUAUAAGAGUUCUGGUUUUACACUUGUUAUAAGUAAUCCAAAAGAGUAAAUAAAGAAAAAAAGAAGUCUUUGCUUUCCUUGUGGAACUUGCAUAAUAGCUACAGUUGACUUUAUCAUUUGACUGUUGUUCAUGAAAAUGGGAAUGGAUUUUGAAAUAGUAUUAAUUUCUGGAAGUAUAUCUUAGGUUUUGUAAAGAAAUGUUGAGUUUACUUCUGGGAAUAAUCGAGGGAAAAAGGAAAGCAAAGCAAAGCCCUCUAACAUAGUUUGGAAGUAAAAAGAUGCAUUUUAUCUGUUAGCAAAAUGACUAGAACUCCUUGAAUAUUUUGAGGCCCUCAUUUCUAUUAGGCAAGCAUUAAAAUAAUUAGUUUGUGUAUUUUCUUUAUCGGUGGAUGGAGGCUGCAAUGAUUAUCUAUAUGGCCAGUAAUUUCCAAGAUGCUUUUUUUUUUUUCUCUAAACAGCUUUUCCUAGAUAUAUUUGACACUCAAGUUAUCCUUGAUUCCGUUAUAGGUAUCUAUACUUUGUUAGCUGUCCAACUUCAUAUACCUCCUUAUGAAGAGUAUUUUCGUUCACUACAUUUUGAUAUACCACAACAUUUGUGUUGUUUUCUUAUCUUUCAAAUUAUCUUUAUUUGCAAAUGAUAUUCUUCAUGAGCAUUGUAUGCUAGAAACAUGCCAUGUUCAUAUUUUGCCUCUUUCUUUUCUGCAACCUUAAUCAAAGUCCUUUUAUGGUGUAUCUGCAGUGUCCUAUUCAGUACCCAUUCUUGGCUUUUUUCAGGGGAGAGAAAAGGCAAAAGGAUAAAUGAAUGAAGAAUUGUUUAGAGAUGUACAAGUUGGAGAGUACUACAUGCACUAGUACAGUGAAAGCAUCCGCCAAAAUAGGAAGGAUAAACAAAAUCACCAACGCCGCACUUGCUUUUCCUGUGGUUUAUGUCUUCUCUUUUUUUUUCCUUGUAAUUGUAGAUGUGAUAUUUUAUGUUAUUAAGCAUUGUUAAACUGGUAGAGUUGCAUAUUCUUUUCUUUUUUAUUUUGUUAAAAACAAUUGUGGAUGUCGUGGUGAAGACUCUCUCUCUCUCUC
RNAcentral lists this long non-coding RNA (5062 nucleotides) under Amborella trichopoda. RNAcentral's name for it is "long non-coding RNA (ATRI_LNC005121)". The record is from RNAcentral. Lineage: Eukaryota; Viridiplantae; Streptophyta; Magnoliopsida; Amborellales; Amborellaceae.